Molecule: ribosomal RNA, 613 nt
Filed under: Paramecium schewiakoffi
Lineage: Eukaryota; Ciliophora; Oligohymenophorea; Peniculida; Parameciidae
Description: eukaryotic LSU rRNA
Rfam family: Eukaryotic large subunit ribosomal RNA
Source: RNAcentral
ACCUGAAAUCAAGCAAGAUCACCCGCUGAACUUAAGCAUAUCAGUAAGCGGAGGAAAAGAAACUAACAAGGAUUGCCUUAGUAGUGGCGAAUGAACCGGCAAUAGCUCAAAGUGUAAAUCUGAGGCAUCAAGUCUUAGAAUUGUAAUCUAUAGGCCUUUUAGGGAAGCCAUGGUUCUAGCAUAAGUUCCUUGAAAAGGGAUGCCAAAGAGGGUAAAAGCCCCGUAUUUGGUUAGGACUGGGUGUACCGAAGGGUUCCAAGAGUCGGGUUGUUUGGGAUUGCAGCCUAAAAUGGGAGAUAAACUUCUUCUAAAGCUAAAUAUUUAUGGGAAACCGAUAGCAAACAAGUACUACGAAGGAAAGAUGAAAAGAACUUUGAAAAGAGGUUUAAAAGACUUGAAAUCGUUGAGGAGAAAAGCGGUAGAAGAGAAAUGAUUUCAUUCAGGAGUAUGUAGUUUUGUUGGUGUCUUCUGUGGUAAUGGUACUUCAUAGGGCCUAGCUGUAGACCGGCAUCGCAUUGCUGCUUUUUCUGGGUGAAGUGCAAAAUGAGGUCUCGCUUGCGGAAACGUCUCUAGGGAGGACUCUGGCCUUGACGCUAGAAGCCCUGGUCUCCAA